CAGUAGCCGCGGUAAUACAGAGGCCUCAAGCGUUGUUCGGAUUCAUUGGGCGUAAAGGGAGCGUAGGCGGUCGGGUAAGUCGGAUGUGAAAUCCUGGGGCUCAACCUCAGAACUGCAUUCGAUACUGCUUGGCUAGAGGACUGGAGAGGUGAGUGGAAUUCACGGUGUAGCAGUGAAAUGCGUAGAUAUCGUGAGGAAGACCAGCGGCGAAGGCGGCUCACUGGACAGUUUCUGACGCUGAUGCUCGAAGGCCAGGGGAGCAAACGGGAUUAGAUACCCGCGUAGUCCCUGUCUCUUAUAC
RNAcentral lists this ribosomal RNA (301 nucleotides) under uncultured bacterium. RNAcentral's name for it is "partial 16S ribosomal RNA". It matches the Rfam family "Bacterial small subunit ribosomal RNA", at positions 509 to 807 of the family's 1533-position model. The record is from RNAcentral.